This 506-nucleotide long non-coding RNA is filed under the name Brachypodium distachyon (stiff brome). RNAcentral's name for it is "long non-coding RNA (BDIS_LNC006002)". Lineage: Eukaryota; Viridiplantae; Streptophyta; Magnoliopsida; Poales; Poaceae. The record is from RNAcentral.
GACGUAUACAUGAUUUUUAUGGAUUGUCGUUAAAAUUACAUCAUAGGUUGGAUAUGGCACUAGCAAUAUAACGACAAAUAUGUGUUCCAUGUGCGAAAUAACAAUUUUGCACACUUUCUUUAUUUAAACCGGCUGGACACCUUAUUGGAAAGUAUUAAACGAGUAGAAUUCCACGUGAGCCACAUGGCUGCGACAUUGUCACGUCAUCAACAACGUUUUACUAGCGUCGACGUGGUUAAGAGGGUUAGAGACAACAUGAAACUUCGCUCACGGCAUGCACCGGCGAAUGCAUGAGGAAGACAACGUCAUUUUCCUACAAAGCUUUGUCUGCAAUUUUGUUUUAAUCUAAAGGUAGUCUCGUAAGAGCUGAUUGAUUUAAUAUAUGGCUUAGGCCUUCUCGUAAAAAAAACUCAUAAUUCAUGCACAUCGGUAACAGUAAUUAGAUUAUGGUGUAAAAAAAAUCCGGAGGUACACAAAAAUGAACUUUGAAAUGAAAACAAUAAGCC